AGCAGCCUAUAAAUAUGUAUCCCCAACCCCUCAGGUUGGCAUGGCAUUGUGUGAGAAAUAAACCAACGAAAAUUGUCCCAACUCUCCUAGUGUCAUCCACAACUAUCAAUGCUCAGGUUGAAAGGUCUAACAUAUGUUUCCUCAAUAAACUCUUGUCUAGCAAAGAGGGCCAAACAUUUAUGUUCAUUAUCUACUGUUUCAGUUAUUACUUGCUAACUCUCUUUGCUUCAACUCCAUUCAAGAUGAUCAGCCAAGUCAGCGUGCCUGUCUCUGAUUUUCCUGCAAUAUCACUGCUUAGGCCCCGCUUGGAUUGUCGGUUGCUUCCCAAAUACCUCCGUAAUCGAUACAGACCUCCAGCCGUUCUUUCUAUUCGGACGGAAAUCACACUGUGGCGGGUAAUUUACACCUGUAAAUUAAAUCCAGGUGUACAAACUUACACCGAAUCCAAGCAGGGCCUUAUGUAGCACACACAACAUUUCUUGUCUACAUCUUCAGUGCAUAUCUUAUACUAUCGGUUGAUCUAUUUAUUUAUUUUUGACGAAGUAGAUGUUGCUCACUCAAGUAUUGUUGGCAGCUUGAGACUGUAAAUUUUCUGGAGAUACUUGUCCUUUAAACUGUGCACACGUUUCUCACUCAAGUAUUGUUGGCAGCCUGAAACUGUACCUCCAAUUUCUGAGCUAGGUUCAGAUGCUCUCAUUGAGCUGAUGUCUGUUGACAAUUUUGUGGACUGAUUGAACAGGAAGAAGGUUGGAAUAAAAGCUCUUUUACUCGAUCAGAGUUCCAUAUCAGGCGUUGGUAAUUGGAUUGCAGAUGAGGUGCUUUACCAGGUAUCCGCACAAAAAUUUGUGAGGCCUGCAUCAAAUGCAGCACUUGAACUUUGAUUUUAAUAUGGGCCUGGAAAUGUAAGGGUCCUGGGACGGAGGGUUGGACACCUGCCUUGAUUGCUAGAGGCCUGAUUGUACAAGAGGGGAAGUAACCAUGAAUCUAUAAUCUAUAAUACUUAAAUAGUUCAUCCCCACUAUUCUAUUUUUCUUGACAUGCAGUCUAUCCACCUCAGCACCCUUGCCACAUCAUCAGUUUCUCUUAAUUAUUUUGAUCAUGCAUCUCACCAAGUCACAUUAUUUUACAAAAUAAAAAUAAAAAUGAUUCGAUUGUCUGUAAACCGAAAGGCCUCUGUAACCCAAGAGUCGUCCUCCCUUGGCUUUCCCCAACAUCUUCUCAAUCUCCGCUUCCUGCACGAUCCAUCAACUAAUUACGUGGCUAUAUUAAUCUCCGGCAACCGAUCUACUUCGUCUUCAUCUUCCACUGAAACAGAUGGAAGAGUAACAGAUAGCUGUUCCUCCUUUUAAGGAAACGAUUGUACUGCAGAUAGAGCUGUUAUUCCUUUUAAGCAACCGAUCUGCUCUGUUCCUAUGGCCUCCACCACAGCUAGAAUAUUAUUAUUCCUCAACAUGACGGCAAGGUGGUGCACUACCAUGGCGUUUGGCAUCAAUAUGUAUGCUGUAUACAGCUGCCGCGAGUUCAUGGCGUUGGCCCCCCUCCUCUCCGAUCCAUGCCGCGUGCGGCUGCGACCGCAUCUUCCACAAGCACGAGGUCGAGGCCGGGCACUGCUGAGGCGCUCCUCCAUGCCGCGUGGUCGAGGACGUCUAAUGCUCUCCUCGCCGCUGCAGAAAUAUGUUUUCUUCCUAGCUCACCUGGGUUGAUCGGCUCAUUGGCAUUGACAGGUAAGUUGUAGGGGCAUUGAGACGAUUCCAUUCUAUCUUGCUGGAUCAAUCAACUAUAUAUAUGAAUCAGUUCAUUGUCUUCUUCCUCCCCAUCUUGCUAUUUCAUUUUAAUUUGGUGAUCGUGCGCGUGUGAUGUAGUUAACAUAUACAGUGUGUUCAUGAGAAUCUGAAGUGGUGUGUAGAUCGAUCUAUGAUAAUACAACUGGUGCGGGUAAAUCCACGUGCAGGUGACGAAUUUCAAGACCAUCGCGGUUGACUGUAUCUUGCCUGCUCGCGCCCCCAUGACACCACCAACGUGUUGGACAAGGUGAAAUACUCGUGUAUCCCAUGACACCUGAUUCCAUCCUAAUCCGCUAAUUGCUCCAUGGUUCCAUCCUAAUCCUCCUCUACUAUCUUGCUACUUUUGUUUAUUAUUUUUACCAUACAUUCUGUAUGUAAUGUUCUAGAUGAAUGAACGUUCAUAUUAUUUGGCAUACGAACUUCCGAAGGAUCCAUUUUUAUUGGUUUCCACAUUAUUUGUUUAUUAUUUUUGUACAUGCCUUUGGUAGUUAUGCUCAAAGAUGAAUGAACAUUCAUAUAUUGCCAUGGCAACUUCCCGAGGAUCCAUGUUUAUAAGUUCGUUUACAGGGUUGUUGCCAAAUUGUGAGAUCUAUCUCAUGUCUUAUACCAGAAGAAGAUGGUUUGGUACAAGGAAGGUUGCAGUUUCAUGAUUUAGUUUGAAUGGAACAGUAGGAAAUCUUUGUUAUACAAAUAAAUUAAUCAUUAUAAUAAAUAUGGAUAAUAUUAAACAUAUAAAAGGAUUAUAUCAGAUUGUCAAGCAAUUAUCGUACACUGCAGAAUGUUUUCCUUGACCUGUGAGACAUAAUUUUUUGAUAUAUAAUUCAUGCUUAAAAUUUUUUUGUUGUCCAAUCACAUGUGACCUCAAUAUGGUGUGUCAGUUUGAUCAAAAGAUAUUGCAACCUCCGCUCACCCAUCAGCGAUCUUGAUGGAGUGGUAACCAAAUGAUGAAGACUUGAUUCUUGAUGUGUUUCCAGUUAUUUCCCCCAAAGUUUGUUUAUUUCAAUUUCUUUCAAGCCAACCCAAAGGAAUGCUUGCAUGUUAAUGCUAAAUCUUUGUUGUUUGUAAACAAAGCAUUUAUUCAAACUUUCAAAUGUAAACAUUAUAUCCAAAUUGGAUCUUUAAUUGAUGUAUUUUUUUUCAUAUUUUUUCAUUCAUACUAUGUGUGCUUUUCUUUAAAGCUGCAUAUAAAAUGUAGAAAGUCCCGCCGCAACGUGCGGGAAAUCAUCUAGUUUAUUAUAUUAUUCAUUACUAGCCUCCAACUAGUUAUUCAACAAAGUAUUAGUAGCAAUUCCAUGCACCUGAAUCGAUCUGAUCUUAUCCCGAACAACUGAGGCUAUCACACCAUGGAGAUAAAGCUGCUCUGUUCCUUCGAUAAAACUACUGCAGCUUCUGCACUUGUUUUGCUGCACUGUUGCUUGGCUGUAACAGACUUCAUGGUAUUCUUUGCACUCGAGAACCCAUCCAUUACUGAUUGCCUCAACCUUAACAAGGGAGAGAGCUGAGCCACUGAACCAAAGCAUCCAGGAGGUUAUUCUAAUUUGACAUUGUUUUGAGUAACUGUUGUAUGUAGCCUUGCAGAAUAGCCAAGACACUAUUAGGUUGUGAAAUAUGCUUCCAAGUCGAUGCUGAUUGUGACCUGCUUUCGUGUGGAAUGAUUGUUUCACCACUGAUGGGGCAGCGAGCCUGGUAAAUCUGAUGCUGGUGGCAGGGUGAGCAUUUGAGCAAUACCACUUCACUUCUACACCUUGUACCAUCCCGAAUUUAUCUAAAGAGAACAGCCAGCUUCUUGAUUCGAUCUCCAUGGAGUUUGCUCGGCUCAGCUCCACUGUGGAGUUAAUGGAGUUGAGAGGUGGAGGGUUGCCGAACAGGCCCUAAAGCUCUGGUUCGCCUCCUUGUGUGCCACAACUGCAGAAGCUGAUCGGGUUCCAAUCUGGCAAAGCAGUAGUAUCUCACCUAGGUCAAGCAUGGGCAGAUACAGAACAUAUGAUGAUUUGAAGCCAAGAAAGAGAGUGGCAACAUUCAGGACUGCCAAGGAACAGCAAAACAGGGGUGCCAUAAGUGCCCCCUCCAGGAAACAUGGAAAAUUGCUGGUGGCAAGAAACCAAGCAUUAAACAUAGCAUCAAGGACGGUUUUGAUACCAUGGAACAAAAUAAAGCUGGUUCCACUGGAAAUGAUGAUCAUGGUUUGGACGAAGCUACUGCUAUGCUGCGCAGGGCAUCAGAACGGGUUACAGGUAAAUAGUCGAGGAAUGAAUCAAAGCCCACCAAACACUAAACCAGGAGGAAGAUACGAAAUUUAGUAUAUAUGCUCCUCGUAUGUUUAACGUUACUGCCUGUAGAUAUAAGCUGACACUAAACAUUCUUAUAUUAUCGGACGGAGGGAGUAUUUGGAAUCUUAAAAUUUGUGUAAAAAACGCUCUUAUAUUAUGGGACGGAGGGAGUAUUUGGAAUCUUAAAAUUUGUGUAAAAAACACUCUUAUAUUAUGGGACGGAGGGAGUAUUUGAAAUCUUAAAAUUUGCGUAAACAUGUCUCUGUUUCUUAACUACUGCAUCAUAGUAUCAUAUGAACAGAAUAUUUAUCCAUCUGAACCCUCAGCUCGACGAUUGAUCCGUGUUCAUUAUGAAAUCCAAUGGUCAGAUUCUCCUCUCGUAUUUGGGCAUGAUUUGUUUUGAACAAAAUUGAACAGACUUCAUUAUAGUAGUAUUUGAAUACUGAUGCCAUUUUUUUUGAGCAAUAAUGCUAAACAUACAAAGAGUUACAC
Triticum aestivum (bread wheat) is the source of this 4546-nucleotide long non-coding RNA. RefSeq lists it as uncharacterized. The transcript has 3 exons. The record is from RefSeq and is a predicted model, not a curated record. NCBI's taxonomy places the organism in Eukaryota, Viridiplantae, Streptophyta, Magnoliopsida, Poales, Poaceae.